This 634-nucleotide ribosomal RNA is filed under the name Pseudoxanthomonas sp. Ri2Ps_5157. Its description in RNAcentral is "bacterial SSU rRNA". It matches the Rfam family "Bacterial small subunit ribosomal RNA", at positions 380 to 1004 of the family's 1533-position model. Lineage: Bacteria; Pseudomonadati; Pseudomonadota; Gammaproteobacteria; Lysobacterales; Lysobacteraceae. The record is from RNAcentral.
AGCCUGAUCCAGCCAUACCGCGUGGGUGAAGAAGGCCUAUCGGGUUGUAAAGCCCUUUUGUUGGGAAAGAAAAGCAUUCGGUUAAUACCCGGGUGUUCUGACGGUACCCAAAGAAUAAGCACCGGCUAACUUCGUGCCAGCAGCCGCGGUAAUACGAAGGGUGCAAGCGUUACUCGGAAUUACUGGGCGUAAAGCGUGCGUAGGUGGUUGUUUAAGUCCGUUGUGAAAGCCCUGGGCUCAACCUGGGAAUUGCAGUGGAUACUGGGCAACUAGAGUGUGGUAGAGGAUAGUGGAAUUUCCGGUGUAGCAGUGAAAUGCGUAGAGAUCGGAAGGAACAUCUGUGGCGAAGGCGACUAUCUGGGCCAACACUGACACUGAGGCACGAAAGCGUGGGGAGCAAACAGGAUUAGAUACCCUGGUAGUCCACGCCCUAAACGAUGCGAACUGGAUGUUGGGUUCAACUUGGAACCCAGUAUCGAAGCUAACGCGUUAAGUUCGCCGCCUGGGGAGUACGGUCGCAAGACUGAAACUCAAAGGAAUUGACGGGGGCCCGCACAAGCGGUGGAGUAUGUGGUUUAAUUCGAUGCAACGCGAAGAACCUUACCUGGUCUUGACAUCCACGGAACUUUCUAGA